GCUCAACCGGGGAGGGUCAUUGGAAACUGGGAAACUUGAGUGCAGAAGAGGAGAGUGGAAUUCCGCGUGUAGCGGUGAAAUGCGUAGAGAUGUGGAGGAACACCAGUGGCGAAGGCGACUCUCUGGUCUGUAACUGACGCUGAGGAGCGAAAGCGUGGGGAGCGAACAGGAUUAGAUACCCUGGUAGUCCACGCCGUAAACGAUGAGUGCUAAGUGUUAGGGGGUUUCCGCCCCUUAGUGCUGCAGCUAACGCAUUAAGCACUCCGCCUGGGGAGUACGGUCGCAAGACUGAAACUCAAAGGAAUUGACGGGGGCCCGCACAAGCGGUGGAGCAUGUGGUUUAAUUCGAAGCAACGCGAAGAACCUUAUCAGGUCUUGACAUCCUCUGACAACCCUAGAGAUAGGGCUUUCCCUUCGGGGACAGAGUGACAGGUGGUGCAUGGUUGUCGUCAGCUCGUGUCGUGAGAUGUUGGGUUAAGUCCCGCAACGAGCGCAACCCUUGAUCUUAGUUGCCAGCAUUCAGUUGGGCACUCUAAGGUGACUGCCGGUGACAAACCGGAGGAAGGUGGGGAUGACGUCAAAUCAUCAUGCCCCUUAUGACCUGGGCUACACACGUGCUACAAUGGACAGAACAAAG
RNAcentral lists this ribosomal RNA (637 nucleotides) under uncultured bacterium. RNAcentral's name for it is "bacterial SSU rRNA". It matches the Rfam family "Bacterial small subunit ribosomal RNA", at positions 607 to 1244 of the family's 1533-position model. The record is from RNAcentral.